GGUGGCUCAGUGGUAGAGUGCUUGCCUGGCAUGCACGAGGGCCUGGGUUCGAUUCCUCAGUACCA
Molecule: transfer RNA, 65 nt
Filed under: Dipodomys ordii (Ord's kangaroo rat)
Lineage: Eukaryota; Metazoa; Chordata; Mammalia; Rodentia; Heteromyidae
Rfam family: tRNA
About the family: Transfer RNA (tRNA) molecules are approximately 80 nucleotides in length.
Source: Rfam by way of RNAcentral